This 1325-nucleotide unclassified non-coding RNA is filed under the name Apis florea (little honeybee). RNAcentral describes it as "nucleolysin TIAR, transcript variant X1". The record is from RNAcentral. Lineage: Eukaryota; Metazoa; Arthropoda; Insecta; Hymenoptera; Apidae.
AUGAACUUGUUUCUUGUUGCAGAGAUUGCAGAGUCGUGAGAGAUCCACAAACGCUCAAAUCCAAAGGAUAUGGAUUCGUUUCCUUUGUUAAAAAAGCGGAAGCGGAAAGUGCUAUCGGUGCCAUGAAUGGACAAUGGCUUGGUAGCAGGAGUAUUCGAACGAAUUGGGCGACUCGCAAACCCCCUGCGCCAAAAUCCGAGGCAAACGCGAAACCAUUGACUUUCGAUGAAGUGUACAAUCAAAGUAGUCCGACCAACUGCACGGUGUACUGCGGCGGACUCACCAAUGGUCUAACGGAAGAGCUAAUGCAAAAAACAUUUUCGCCUUUCGGAUCCAUCCAAGAGAUUCGCGUAUUCAAGGACAAGGGUUACGCUUUCAUCAGGUUUUCUACCAAAGAAUCGGCGACACACGCUAUUGUGGCGGUUCACAACACCGACAUCAAUGGUCAAACGGUGAAGUGUAGCUGGGGCAAGGAGAGCGGGGACCCGAACAAUGCUCAACAAACUGGACAGGCGUUAUCGUCGGCGACGUACCCAUACUACGCGGCGGCAGCAGCUGCCGCCGCGGCGGCGGCAGGCGUCGCGGGUGUCGGAGGCGUCGGUGGCGUCGGCGGUGCUGGCCAGCUAGGAUACUGGUACCCGCCCCAAUCUUAUCCCACCACAGCGACACAGAUGCAAGCCGGUGGUUUCCUUCAAGGGAUGCAGGGAUACACUUAUGGACAGUUCGCCGGCUAUCAACAGGCGCAAUACAUGGGAAUGGGAAUGGGUGUCCACGCUGCUGGCACGGCAGCAGGUUGGGGCCAGGGAUUACCUGGGGGACCACAGUUACCGCCACACCAUGCCACGACGGUCACGGCACCCCCAGGGGUGCAAGCCGCACCCCCACCACCACCACCUCCGGCACAAAUGAUGGCCUACCCGAUGCAACAGUUCCAGUAUGUAUUUGAAGAGAUAAGAGGGCCUAACGAUACAUAUUCGAGAUGAGGGAAUACUAAUGAAAAAGACUUAUAAACCCUAUCAAGAUCCUGCAUAAGAAUCUUUCAUCAGCAUGUGUUCUUGGUUGCGGUCCAGCUAGCGGAUGAGGACUGGCUGACGCCUAGCCUUCUAGUGUGAUGGUAAGCAAGCACACCCCACCAACAGGAACAACUUCUACAGCAACAACAGUUACCACCACCACCACCAUCACCACCACCACCAUUAUCACCACCACUACUACUACUACCACCACAACUACCAACAACAACAACAACAAAAUUUCCGUCACCAUCGACGCCACCGCGACAGCAAAAGCGACAAAAAUCAUGCCGCUUCCGGCUUGAUUCCGGA